Molecule: ribosomal RNA, 416 nt
Filed under: uncultured bacterium
Lineage: Bacteria
Description: bacterial SSU rRNA
Rfam family: Bacterial small subunit ribosomal RNA
Source: RNAcentral
UAUUGGUCAAUGGGCGCGAGCCUGAACCAGCCAAGUAGCGUGAAGGAUGACGGCCCUAUGGGUUGUAAACUUCUUUUAUAUGGGAAUAAAGUUUGGUAUGCAUACCAUUUUGUAUGUACCAUAUGAAUAAGGAUCGGCUAACUCCGUGCCAGCAGCCGCGGUAAUACGGAGGAUCCGAGCGUUAUCCGGAUUUAUUGGGUUUAAAGGGUGCGUAGGCGGGCUUUUAAGUCAGCGGUAAAAAUUCGGGGCUCAACCCCGUCCGGCCGUUGAAACUGGGGGCCUUGAGUGGGCGAGAAGAAGGCGGAAUUCGUGGUGUAGCGGUGAAAUGCUUAGAUAUCACGAAGAACUCCGAUUGCGAAGGCAGCUCACUGGACUGUUGACUGACACUGAGGCUCGAAAGUGUGGGUAUCAAACAG